GAAUUUUUCUGCCCACCCACUCUACCAGCUAAUUUUCCGAAGACUAAUUAGGUUGUUGAAUAUUUUUUUAAAAUGCUCCACUUCCGGAGACAAAGAAAGGGUAUAGCAACCUGAUACUUGCUAUACAUAAAGAUUGGUAAGAGGAAAAAACCCUGUCAGGGAGGAAAUCUUAUUUUGCAGAGUGAAGUAGAGGAAUUAGACUUGACUAUUUCUGGAAUACGAACUUAGCUAGGCGAGGAGACUCUAUUUCCUGAUUUAGGGUUUUCCAUGGCCAAUCUCCACUGUGACCUCGUGGACAAAAAAUGAUUUUUGUUUUCUUCAGAGAAGAACAAGUAGGUGGUUGAUUUAGAGGCUGUUGGACUGGCUCAAUUUUCAGAACAAGUGAUUUACUGUGGAUCUUUCAGAAUUCCUCUUUUAAUAAGUUUUAUUUUUAAAGAAAAGCAAUGAUAACUGAGAUUUCUGGUCCUCUGACCAAGUAGAUGAAAGUUAUCAAAGGGCAAGCAGCACCAGGUUUCCUUGUCCCACUUGUGCCCAGAAGAAGAAGAAGAAGAAAUUCAGAUGCUGCUGAAGUCUAGCAAGGACACAGAGCCGCAGUGGUGUUUAGUUCCUGUUGAAGGUCAGCCUGCAACAAGCUUGGCAUCCAGGAAGCAAUUCAAUUCUGUUUAGAAAUCGUAUCUGGAAAGAGCAAAAUCAAGUAUAUGCUUUCAAUGGACUUAGCUCUUUCAGGAUAUUUUCUGCCUUGGUACUAAAACUCCUAAUGCGGUACCCCGAGCCAAAGACAACAAAUACCUUCGUGCACAGCAUCUCUCCACCCUCCCUCGCUCAGGCAGCUACUGUGAGGCAGUCACAGUGUUUGUUUAUGGCUUCCACGUUCCAGUGUACUAUCCUGUCUCAGGAGAACAAGCCCAGAGUAAGAGGGGUUGAGAAGCUGGGACUCCAAAUUUCCACCCCAUAUCCAACCGAAGUAGCCCUACUCUUGUUGAUUUUACAUUUU
RNAcentral lists this long non-coding RNA (994 nucleotides) under Equus asinus (donkey). RNAcentral's name for it is "lncRNA (ENSEASG00005026001.1)". The record is from RNAcentral. Lineage: Eukaryota; Metazoa; Chordata; Mammalia; Perissodactyla; Equidae.